CCCUUAGAUGUUCUGGGUCGCACGCGCGCUACACUGAUGAAUUCAACGAGCUCCUAACCUAGGCCGAAGGGUCCGGGUAAUCUUUGAAAUUUCAUCGUGAUGGGGAUAGAUUAUUGCAAUUAUUAAUCUUCAACGAGGAAUUCCUAGUAAGCGCGAGUCAUCAGCUCGCGUUGAUUACGUCCCUGCCCUUUGUACACACCGCCCGUCGCUCCUACCGAUUGAAUGGUCCGGUGAAAUGUUCGGACCGCGACAAGGCGGACGGUUCGCUGUCAGCUUUGCUGCGGGAAGUUCAUUAAACCUUAUCAUUUAGAGGAAGGAGAAGUCGUAACA
This 330-nucleotide ribosomal RNA is filed under the name uncultured eukaryote. Its description in RNAcentral is "partial 18S ribosomal RNA". It matches the Rfam family "Eukaryotic small subunit ribosomal RNA", at positions 1470 to 1796 of the family's 1831-position model. The record is from RNAcentral.